UGAACGUGGUAUGGUUGUUCGUGCCAGACGGGCUAGUUUGAGUAUUUCAGAAACUGCCGAUCUACUGGAAUUUUCACGCACAACCAUCUCUAGGAUUUAGAGAGAAUGGUACGAAAAACAGAGAAAAUAUCCAGUGAGCGGCAGUUCUCUGGGCGAAAAUGCCUUGUUGAUGGCAGAGGUCAGGGGAGAAUGGCCAGAGUGGUUCGAGCUAAUAGAAAGGCAACAGUAGGCCUAACUCAAAUAACUACUCGUUACAACCGAGGUAUGCAGAAGAGCAUCUCUGAACGCACAACAAGUCGAACCUCGAAGCAGGUGGGCUACAGCAGCAGAAGCCAACCCGGUACUAGCAAUACCUAAUAAAAUGGCCGAGACGACGGUGAGCAUGUGUGGAGGGAAAUAUCCCACAGUUGGAGUGUUGCGUCUGGUAAAGUGGCAAUAGAUGUUCACCUAGGAGACAAAGAAGAGAAAGUAUUGCUGGAGACGGGGACGACUGGUGGAUAUGCCGCUGCCGUAGCGACGGGCUGCAAUGCGAGGGCUCUCUGGCGGUACCGACGGGGUGACUCAUGAUCUGAUUUGGAGCGGGCGGGCGGGCAGGCGGGCGGGGAGGCGAGCGGGUGAGCUCGGCGCUUUCCUCGCCCCCUGUGCCUGUGAAAGUGCCUACAGCAGUGCUGCGAGACCCCCAUGGCGAGGCCAGACCUGGAGCGGCUGCACUCUCUCACACAUUCUCCCAGAUCUCAGGAGAGCACAGCGCAGCGCUAACCUCUAAUGGCCUAGUAGCACAAGCCUCUCCAGAGAGGAGGGAAAUGACACAGCGGCCUGCUUUGGCCCAAGCACCAACUGACGCCAGUCUGCUUUUUUUCAACACAGUGGUUCAAGCACACACGUUUUCAUUUUACUUAAUACUAUUUCACACUGGCAUAUUCUUUUGCAAUAUUCCAGAAUCACAGGUCAACAGUUAUUUACAGUAGUAAAAUAAAAAAAAUGCACU
This is a long non-coding RNA of Anguilla rostrata (American eel), 988 nucleotides long. RefSeq lists it as uncharacterized. The transcript is spliced from 3 exons. The record is from RefSeq and is a predicted model, not a curated record. Lineage: Eukaryota; Metazoa; Chordata; Actinopteri; Anguilliformes; Anguillidae.